Molecule: ribosomal RNA, 277 nt
Filed under: Mitopernoides variabilis
Lineage: Eukaryota; Metazoa; Arthropoda; Arachnida; Opiliones; Gonyleptidae
Description: partial 16S ribosomal RNA
Source: RNAcentral
GCAUAAUCAAUAGUUUUUUAAUUGAGAACUGGAAUGAAGGGUUUAUACUAAAGAGAUAGUUUUAUUUAAUUUUCUUGAAUUUAAAUUAAAAGUAAAAAUGCUUUUAUUAGAUUUUGGGACGAGAAGACCCUAGAAGCUUAUAAUUAAUUAAUUUUUGGUUGGGGUAACAUUUGAAGUAAAAAAUUUUUGAAUAAGUAAAGUAUUUUAAUAGAAGUUACUCUAGGGAUAACAGCAUAAUUUAAUUAACAAGUUCUUAUUAAUAAUUAAGUUUGUGACC